AUCUCUCACGUAUUCGAUAUGUAUGUUAACAGUAGAUGUAAUGAGCGUGUUAUCGUGUCAUUUGGAAUGAGAUCCCUCUUGUUAUUCACGCGUGUAAGCACUGAUCGGAAUUCGGAUGUUGGCAGCACCCGCAAACAAAGGACUGAUAUUUAGUUUAGUUGGAUUGUUCGAGAAAGGGUUAAGGGCUUUCGCUACUACAGAAAAUUACAUCUUUUU
Long non-coding RNA from Schistocerca gregaria, 216 nucleotides. RefSeq lists it as uncharacterized. Lineage: Eukaryota; Metazoa; Arthropoda; Insecta; Orthoptera; Acrididae. The transcript is spliced from 2 exons. The record is from RefSeq and is a predicted model, not a curated record.